Molecule: ribosomal RNA, 445 nt
Filed under: uncultured bacterium
Lineage: Bacteria
Description: bacterial SSU rRNA
Rfam family: Bacterial small subunit ribosomal RNA
Source: RNAcentral
CCAGACUCCUACGGGAGGCAGCAGUGGGGAAUAUUGCACAAUGGGGGAAACCCUGAUGCAGCGACGCCGCGUGAGUGAAGAAGUAUUUCGGUAUGUAAAGCUCUAUCAGCAGGGAAGAUAAUGACGGUACCUGAGUAAGAAGCCCCGGCUAACUACGUGCCAGCAGCCGCGGUAAUACGUAGGGGGCAAGCGUUAUCCGGAUUUACUGGGUGUAAAGGGAGCGUAGACGGCAUGGCAAGUCUGAAGUGAAAGCCCGGGGCUCAACCGCGGGACUGCUUUGGAAACUGUUAAGCUGGAGUGCAGGAGAGGUAAGUGGAAUUCCUAGUGUAGCGGUGAAAUGCGUAGAUAUUAGGAGGAACACCAGUGGCGAAGGCGGCUUACUGGACAGUAACUGACGCUGAGGCGCGAAAGCGUGGGGAGCAAACAGGAUUAGAUACCCUUGUAA